UAUACGACCGUACCGCAAACCGACACUGGUGCGCGAGAUGAGUAUUCUAAGGCGCUUGAGAGAACUCAGGAGAAGGAACUCGGCAAAUUGACACCGUAACUUCGGAAGAAGGUGUGCCCUAUUAGUGUGUAGUGAACAACGAAGCAUGAAUGGGUUGCAAAAAAUCGGUGGCUGCGACUGUUUAUUAAAAACACAGCACUCUGCAAACACGAAAGUGGACGUAUAGGGUGUGACGCCUGCCCGGUGCUGGAAGAUUAAAUGAUGGGGUGCAAGCUCUUGAUUGAAGUCCCAGUAAACGGCGGCCGUAACUAUAACGGUCCUAAGGUAGCGAAAUUCCUUGUCGGGUAAGUUCCGACCUGCACGAAUGGCGUAACGAUGGCCACACUGUCUCCUCCUGAGACUCAGCGAAGUUGAAAUGUUUGUGAUGAUGCAAUCUCCCCGCGGAAAGACGGAAAGACCCCAUGAACCUUUACUGUAGCUUUGUAUUGGACUUUGAACAGAUCUGUGUAGGAUAGGUGGGAGGCUUUGAAGCAGGGUCGCUAGAUCUUGUGGAGCCAACGUUGAAAUACCACCCUGGUGUGUUUGAGGUUCUAACCUAGGUCCAUUAUCUGGAUCGGGGACAGUGCAUGGUAGGCAGUUUGACUGGGGCGGUCUCCUCCCAAAGCGUAACGGAGGAGUUCGAAGGUACGCUAGUUACGGUCGGACAUCGUGACGAUAGUGCAAUGGCAUAAGCGUGCUUAACUGCGAGACUGACAAGUCGAGCAGAUGCGAAAGCAGGACAUAGUGAUCCGGUGGUUCUGUAUGGAAGGGCCAUCGCUCAACGGAUAAAAGGUACUCUGGGGAUAACAGGCUGAUACCGCCCAAGAGUUCAUAUCGACGGCGGUGUUUGGCACCUCGAUGUCGGCUCAUCUCAUCCUGGGGCUGUAGCCGGUCCCAAGGGUAUGGCUGUUCGCCAUUUAAAGAGGUACGUGAGCUGGGUUUAAAACGUCGUGAGACAGUUUGGUCCCUAUCUUCCGUGGGCGCUGCAGAUUUGAGGAAGCCUGCUCCUAGUACGAGAGGACCGGAGUGGACACACCUCUGGUGUAUCGGUUGUCACGCCAGUGGCAUUGCCGAGUAGCUAAGUGUGGAAGAGAUAACCGCUGAAAUCAUCUAAGCGGGAAACUCGUUUCAAGAUGAGAUCUGCCGGGGCCUUGAGCCCCCUAAAGAGUCGUUCAAGACCAGGACGUUGAUAGGUCAGGUGUGGAAGCGA
This 1249-nucleotide ribosomal RNA is filed under the name metagenome. RNAcentral's name for it is "bacterial LSU rRNA". It matches the Rfam family "Bacterial large subunit ribosomal RNA", at positions 1635 to 2876 of the family's 2925-position model. The record is from RNAcentral.